RNAcentral lists this transfer RNA (76 nucleotides) under Emcibacter sp. RNAcentral's name for it is "tRNA-Lys". It matches the Rfam family "tRNA". Rfam says of the family: Transfer RNA (tRNA) molecules are approximately 80 nucleotides in length. Lineage: Bacteria; Pseudomonadati; Pseudomonadota; Alphaproteobacteria; Emcibacterales; Emcibacteraceae. The record is from RNAcentral.
GGGCCCGUAGCUCAGUUGGUAGAGCAGCUGACUCUUAAUCAGCUUGUCACAGGUUCAAUCCCUGUCGGGCUCACCA